GCGGUGCCGGCCCGGGGUGGUCGGACGCGCUGCGGACGCGGCACAGGCCGCAGGAUGGACGGACGGACAGACAGACAGCCGAGCACGGGCGGGUGCGCUACUGCUCGGAGAGCGUGUGCGGGCUCCGUCACUGCAGACGCUGCCCAACCGACUGGAUGCAGUCCCGUGGCGUGCGCUCCGCCAGGGCUGUGCUCGAGCAGGGAGGCUGGAGCGGAUGAGCCCCGCGGUCCCUCCAGCCUGACCCAUCCUGUGGAACCCGUGUGAGACCCAGGCGGGACAUGGGCACCAGCACCGCCGGAGCUCAGAUUCCUGGGUUUCCCUCGAGGGAAGUCACAGAAGAAAAGAAAACGGGGCAGUUCCAUUCACUCACCUCGUUUUUAGAGAGGAUAAGCAGCAGGUAGAUGUCAAAUCAGGGACAGAAAACUUGUCCACAUCUGCCGAAAAAGUAAAUUAUAUAAAAUCAAUGAGGAUGAAUUCUUAUCAUAAAACAUACCAGCCCUAAACCAUGAGGUUUCAAGAGUCUUUGCAUCAGGUCAGGUUAUGACUAUUUCCUAUUUUGCUUGGGGUUAGCCACUGCUGAAACCACCAGCCCUGAAAGCCCUCAUGAGCCGCUUCAGAGGUGAUUCCCAGCACCAAAACACAGAGGGAAAAAUACACCAGUGCCACCGAACUUCAGUGCUUGUAAGUGGAUUUGCAACUCAUUAACCUCCAUUAAGAAAUGUAAUCCAGUUAGCCUGAGAGCUUUUCCAUGCGCAGAGGCAUCUACGGUCCACCCCCCUCUUGCCAGGAGAGGGCCGGAGCUUCUCAGUCCACCCAGAGAAACCAUGCCCAGGUGAUUGUUACAGGUUGUUUUCCUCCAUACCACCCUGGCUGCCUCAAGCAAUGACAGCACUCUUCACCUGCAGUUUGUUUAGUUAAGAGGGAAUCAAGGACUUGAGUGUACCCAGCCACUGUGUUACUUUCCCUGGCUGGGUUCUGUACUUUUAAGAGAUGCUCAUGGACAGAUGUCGCAUUCCUUCUUGGCUCUUGCUCUGAGGGUUUAAACACCGACAUUUUUAAUGCCCUCUGUCAUGCCAGGCUUCUCAUUCCCUGAUCAUCCCUGCAAGCUCUUGUGGGAGCUGAUGGGCCAGAGCAAUGUUUGAGAUGAGGGCUCAGCAAGGCGUUAGGGAAUGGUAUUUAUAUCUCCCUCAGUUGAAUCAAAAUUUCAUUUGAUAUAUCCUACGAAUAAAUCUGCCCUUUUCAGAUCCUCGUCACAAUGAUGACUCACAGGAUACAGUUUUGAUACCAACGUAUUAGAAAACAGAAAAAAGUAAUUUCCUUUGGCUGCCUAGUGACGAUAUGGUUAAAAAAUAUAUAAAUUGUCAGCCAACACAUCCAGAGAAUCUACUGCUAUUCUCUGGUCUGUAUCUACAGAGUUCAGGUUUGCUGUGACAGUACAGCACAUGGUCAUAUCCAUCAUCUAGCAGUGUCACAGAGAGCUCUGGCAACAACCAAACCCAGCCACCCUGGGUAACAGCUGCUCCCAGCACUGCCAAAGUAAACACACAUUUCCAAGGGACUGAGAAGAUGAAAGACAGAGACAGGCCACGACAGCAAUGCCUUGAUAGUCCACCCCCUUGAACUUUUCAGCUCAUGAAGUGGGCCUGGGACACACAGAACACUUAGCUGGAACUGCUCCAGCUUAUUGUUGAUGUAUUUUAGCCUGUUGCUGUUUUUAGCUUUCUUCUUGAAAACACACCUUUCUCCAACACAGGUGGGAGCACUGAUGGAGGUGUACAAGCAGGCAUCCAGCCACAGUAAGAUGCUCCAGCAUCCAGUGAGAUGGGUCCUUCCAUUUCCUCUGCUGGUUUUAGAUAAUGCCAAAAAGAUAUAGCUCUAUCAUCUUCAGCUGGCAGGUGCAAGAGGCCCAGGGGUGCUCCAUGUUCCUGAGCCUGCUGUGUGUUCCACUGGCAUCCUGCACACUGCCUUGCAGAGAUUCUCAUCAGCAAUCCUUGGAGAUCCUGUUUGAACCUGCUGCCAGCUGCCCAACCACCUCCUCACCAUAUGAAUGAUGGACUAAUGGUGCCAUUGGGCACACAGCAACAUUUCUCACCUCUUAUUCAGAACAACCCAAUCUGCAGGUAGAAAGAUCACUCAUCCUACAGACAGAUUAAUACUCUGUGUUCAAGAUGACAGACAUUUUAAAAUGUCAAAAAGCAUGUCUUCAUCACCUGGCCAGCUGUUGAAGUAAGAGCAGUGAUGGUUAACUCUCAGCCUCAAAUCCAGAGAUAAAACAUUUCCUCCAGCUACCCAGUCACAACACUCCUUGCUACUGCUCAACCCCAAAGCAGCAUCUGCAGUCAGGAAUGAAAAGCAGCUCUCCACCCAGCACAAUUGUACACCCAGCCUAGGGGGCAUUUCCGUGAUGACACCAGCUGAAAAUGGAACAAUCAAACCCUUCAAUGCAGGAAAAAAAUAUCUAAUGUUACCAGGUUGAUCUUACAGCACAAAGAUUUUUCUCCUCUGCCUUGCAAGAGAGGUAUUUUUGUCAGUGUCUGGUACCUGCACAGAGCCAAGCACAUCACCUUCACAGCACUUUGGCUAUUGGCCUCCAGGAGCUAAAUGUAAGCCUUCAGUUUGCCACCUUUUCUACAGAUUACAGCUGUAAAACACAGCUAAGUGGGAGACAGAAUGCCAAGAUAGAGGAAGAACCAAAAGCUUGGUACACAACUUAGAACAAUUUAUUUAAACAGGUCAGUCCAGAAUCAGUUUCUUACAAAAAAAGAGCAAAAGUCUGCCUCUGUCCCUUUCUCAUCAUUCACCUGUAGAAAUCAAUCAAGUCUUGAAGAAAACACCCACCCACCCCACCUCUCUGAGAAGUCAGGGUUAAUCCCUGGCAGUCAGCACAAGCUUCACCCUCCACUGAUAGAAGAAGCACAUGCCAAUGGAGCAGGUCCUAAUAUUCAGCACAAGACCAGAGAUGAGUGUGCAGAGGCAGACAUGUGCCUAAAACAGGUAAUGUACACUUACUGGCACACAGCUACAUUACUUAGCUCAAAAACUUCCUCUUUUCCCCACGUCCACAAAACAUCAAGAUCUGUUUGGAUCUUUUUUCCUUGUGGCCAAAUGGAAUAACCCAGGGCCAGUCUGUGAGUGAUCCAAGUAAUGGCCCAAUUUGCCAGUGAACAAACUCCUAGAAAUACAGACUUUUGGAAAUGGAAAACAUUGUUAAAAGCACUCUGCAGCUGCUGAUGAGUUGGUUUUCUCAAGAGUUCUGCCUUGGGGACAGACAACCAUUACCUGCUUUUUAAACGUAACAACUGUGGAAGCUGACAUGCUGAAACACAGCAGAAUGAUACUUGCCCAUGUCCAUUCAGUCACUGGCAAAAUCAGGACUGCAAACCCUGCAGGCUGCCAGGUGUGUGCUGCACAUCUGUCACACUGUCAUACUACCUUCUCAUCCUUUGAGAUGGAACAUGCCAGACAUACAGAAAAUUUCAAGUCUUUUAUUUUCAAAAAUUCAAAAAAUAAUAUAUGAUUGCUUUUGGUUUUUUUUUAAAUUAAAAAAAAUAAUAUCUAAGCUGCCAUUUUUAGCUGUCAGCAUUUACACUUCGUCAAUACGCCGCUUUUUUUUGGGAGUCACUGAACAUGCCUCUGCUUCUCCGUCUUGCAAGGCACUGCCAGAGUCAAACUCACAGCCAGCAUCAGCUGCCUCCAAAAACAAAACAUCAUCAGCAUCAUCUCUGCUCUCAGAGAAGGUCUUCUGGAAAAGGUCAUAGAUACUCUUCUGCUUUGUAUCUGGCUGAGGAAAGAGAACACAACAGGAUCUGCAUCCAUACUGUCAUGUAAAACACAGUGAGCAAAAUCAGAGGACACUCUCCUUACACAGUGCACAUGUGUGUACAGAUCAUACCUCACAUGAUACACACCCAUAUGUAUCUCAUACAUUAUAAACUCAAAGACGUUUAUAUGACAUGGAUGCUAACAGGUCUCCUUGCAGGUAGCAGGUUGGAACUUCUGUGGAGACUCCAAGCCAAGGCGUGGAUCCUGGGAGGAGCUUAACAAUCUGGUCUGUGGCAUUAAAGGCAGAACAGGUGCAAGGUCACCUGUGCCAAUCUAGAUGUACACAAGCCAAAGCCCAUUCAGCCUCUCCCAGGGACCACCAAUAUUCUUUCAGGUCAAUUACCUUAGGACAGUAAUUAGUUGACUCAGCUGUUUCAGAGAAAUUGGUUUCUGAAAGACCAGCUUCACCCAGCACUUUGAUCUUGUCCUGAAUCAUUGGCCUAGGAGUGAUAAACAGAUAUUACUGAAAGGAAAAAAAUCAAGGACACCGCUUCAUUUACUAUGUGUAGAUUAAAAAAGAAUACAGCUGGGAAGAAAGAUGGCUCUUCUACCAAACUUUGUUGGUUCCUUGACCUGUCCUGCUCUUGGCUAUAAUCACUGUAUUCUGUCUUGAGAUAUCAGUCAAUUAAAUUAGUAACAAUUAGAGGAUUUUGGGCUAUAAACAUUUGGAGAACACAUAUGUCCAAUAGAGAAACUAGUUGACUGAGGCAACAUCAAUGGUAUGAAGCCAGACCGAGAAGAUGCAGCUAAAAGGAUUCCUAGCAGCCUGUGUGCUCAGUCUCCAAGGCAAGCAAUGGAAAACCCCAACAAAAGAUGCAUCAGCACUUCAAGAAUAACUCCCAAUGUACAGCAGGAGGAAGAAUCCAUCACUGGCCGAAGAGGCUGAGAGGUCCUGGCCACACCUGCACACUGGACACUGAAAGACGCCAAGGCCACAGCACAAUUAGUGCAUUUACCAAAUAGCCUUGUCCUCUUGUUCUUUUUCUUAUUUUUAAAAAGAUGCCACUGUCCUUUCGAGAGCCGUAUUUCUUCCCCAUUAAGCACUAAUGACUGCACAGACAGCAUUUCACAAAUAAAGGCAGAAUUACUGUCAUUAACUUUCCAUGAAAUUUGGGUGAUGCAUCAGUUUCCAGAUCCUUGCAUUGUAGGGUUGUAAUUACUUGCCAUCAUGAUAUUCUGGGAACUGCACAAGUUCACUUAGUUCAUUCAUUCCUUUAAACAAGGUAAUAAAGAUGUAAUUUUGGAUUUAAAUGAA
Long non-coding RNA from Haemorhous mexicanus (house finch), 5077 nucleotides. RefSeq lists it as uncharacterized. The record is from RefSeq and is a predicted model, not a curated record. The transcript has 2 exons. Lineage: Eukaryota; Metazoa; Chordata; Aves; Passeriformes; Fringillidae.